CCCUUAGAUGUUCUGGGCCGCACACGCGCUACACUGAAGGAGGCAGCGUGUACUCCUGGAUCGAAAGAUUUGGGUAACCCGCGAAUCUCCUUCGUGCUAGGGAUUGAGGUUUGCAAUUAUCCUUCAUGAACGAGGAAUUCCCAGUAAGUGCAAGUCAUAAGCUUGCGCUGACUACGUCCCUGCCCUCUGUACACACCGCCCGUCGCUCCUACCGAUCGAGCGAUCCAAUGAAUGUUUCGGAGCGGAUCUGCGAUGCUACGCGUCUCUUAUUCGCGAAUUUGUGUGAAUUUGAUCGCUUAGAGGAAGGAGAAGUCGUAACA
Molecule: ribosomal RNA, 320 nt
Filed under: uncultured eukaryote
Lineage: Eukaryota
Description: partial 18S ribosomal RNA
Rfam family: Eukaryotic small subunit ribosomal RNA
Source: RNAcentral